UAGGGAAUCUUCCACAAUGGACGCAAGUCUGAUGGAGCAACGCCGCGUGAGUGAAGAAGGGUUUCGGCUCGUAAAGCUCUGUUGUUAGAGAAGAACACGAGUGAGAGUAACUGUUCAUACGUUGACGGUAUUUAACCAGAAAGUCACGGCUAACUACGUGUCAG
RNAcentral lists this ribosomal RNA (164 nucleotides) under uncultured bacterium. Its description in RNAcentral is "partial 16S rRNA". It matches the Rfam family "Bacterial small subunit ribosomal RNA", at positions 355 to 511 of the family's 1533-position model. The record is from RNAcentral.